AAUAUAUCGCAGAGGGACUGUGCGCAUGCGUAAACGGUUGAGAAGGUUAAAACCUGACUCUUGGAACCUGUCAGUUAAUACUGUCGUAGGGAGCGAAUGAUGGAUCAGA
This 109-nucleotide non-coding RNA is filed under the name Roseburia hominis. RNAcentral describes it as "TPP sequence". It matches the Rfam family "TPP riboswitch aptamer (THI element)". Rfam says of the family: Vitamin B(1) in its active form thiamin pyrophosphate (TPP) is an essential coenzyme that is synthesised by coupling of pyrimidine and thiazole moieties in bacteria. The previously detected thiamin-regulatory element, thi box was extended, resulting in a new, highly conserved RNA secondary structure, the THI element, which is widely distributed in eubacteria and also occurs in some archaea. Analysis of operon structures identified a large number of new candidate thiamin-regulated genes, mostly transporters, in various prokaryotic organisms. Lineage: Bacteria; Bacillati; Bacillota; Clostridia; Lachnospirales; Lachnospiraceae. RNAcentral also lists the same sequence under 1 other name. The record is from RNAcentral.